GACGAACGCUGGCGGCGUGCCUAAUACAUGCAAGUCGAGCGAAGUUUGUCUGGUUUUUUCCCUAGAAAGACUUGGCGGCGGGUGUGUGACUCACACGUAACCUACCUGCCUCAUAGACUGGGCCAUUUAUUGGAAACGAUAGCUCAUACCGGAUGACAGUGUUUCUCGCAUUUGAGAUAUUUAAAAGUUUUUUAUCCUUACACUAUGAGAUUGCUUUGUGGUGGAUUAGCUGGUUGGUGGGGUAAAGGCCCACCAAGGCGACGAUGCAUAGCCGACCUGAGAGGGUGAUCGGCCACACGGGAACUGAGACACGGCCCAGACUCCUACGGGAGGAAGAAGUGGGGAAUCUUGGGCAAUGGGCGAAAGCCUGACGGAGCAAGGCGGCGUGAGUGAAGAAGGAGUUCGGUUCGUAAAGCUCUGUUGUUAGGGAAGAAGGGAUAUGGAGUAAAAAGUCAAGUAAGUGACGGUACCUAACCAGAAAGCGACGGCUAACUACGUG
Molecule: ribosomal RNA, 499 nt
Filed under: uncultured bacterium
Lineage: Bacteria
Description: partial 16S ribosomal RNA
Rfam family: Bacterial small subunit ribosomal RNA
Source: RNAcentral